RNAcentral lists this ribosomal RNA (253 nucleotides) under uncultured bacterium. RNAcentral's name for it is "partial 16S ribosomal RNA". It matches the Rfam family "Bacterial small subunit ribosomal RNA", at positions 524 to 776 of the family's 1533-position model. The record is from RNAcentral.
UACGGAGGGGGCUAGCGUUGUUCGGAAUUACUGGGCGUAAAGCGCGCGUAGGCGGAUCUGCAAGUCGGGGGUGAAAUCCCGAGGCUCAACCUCGGAACUGCCUUCGAUACUGCGGGUCUCGAGUCCGGGAGAGGUGAGUGGAAUUCCUAGUGUAGAGGUGAAAUUCGUAGAUAUUAGGAAGAACACCAGUGGCGAAGGCGGCUCACUGGCACGGUACUGACGCUGAGGCGCGAAAGCGUGGGGAGCAAACAGG